RNAcentral lists this ribosomal RNA (273 nucleotides) under uncultured Methylobacterium sp. RNAcentral's name for it is "partial 16S ribosomal RNA". It matches the Rfam family "Bacterial small subunit ribosomal RNA", at positions 524 to 796 of the family's 1533-position model. Lineage: Bacteria; Pseudomonadati; Pseudomonadota; Alphaproteobacteria; Hyphomicrobiales; Methylobacteriaceae. The record is from RNAcentral.
GACAGAGGGUGCAAACGUUGUUCGGAAUUACUGGGCGUAAAGCGCGUGUAGGCGGCUUUGCAAGUCGGGCGUGAAAUCCCACGGCUCAACCGUGGAAGUGCACUCGAAACUGCAGAGCUAGAGUCCUGGAGAGGAAGGUGGAAUGCUUGGUGUAGAGGUGAAAUUCGUAGAUAUCAAGCGGAACACCGGUGGCGAAGGCGGCCUUCUGGACAGUGACUGACGCUGAGACGCGAAAGCGUGGGGAGCAAACAGGAUUAGAAACCCCGGUAGUCC